CAAAUAAUCUUUUUGCUUAUAUCAGGUGUACUUACACAAUUAAGCUCUCAAAUCAUAAAGCUUAGUACAUACUUGUAGCUUCAUCAAAAUACAUUUUGGUUCUUACACGUGGUGCACACAACACAGCACUCCAGAUACCUAUUAAAAAUGGAAGUUAAAGAAGGAAAGCUAUCCAGUAUACAGGUCCACUUCAAUUCAAGUUACAGUCACACUUUUACAGAUUAAAAUAAUAAUGUCAUAACUACACAGUAUAGGGAGAUAAAGGUAUAAAAUUGUUAUUAAUUGAUUAAAAAUGUAAUAAAAUAAAAUUAUAAUGUCAGAUGAUAAGGUCAAGUUUUCA
This is a long non-coding RNA of Aricia agestis (brown argus), 340 nucleotides long. RefSeq lists it as uncharacterized. The transcript has 3 exons. The record is from RefSeq and is a predicted model, not a curated record. NCBI's taxonomy places the organism in Eukaryota, Metazoa, Arthropoda, Insecta, Lepidoptera, Lycaenidae.